RNAcentral lists this long non-coding RNA (7274 nucleotides) under Homo sapiens (human). RNAcentral describes it as "non-protein coding lnc-PRSS27-4:2". Lineage: Eukaryota; Metazoa; Chordata; Mammalia; Primates; Hominidae. The record is from RNAcentral.
GGAGCACGGGGUGAUCUGGGCACUAACGCUGAUGGGGAGCAGCGGACAUCAGCCUCGACCUCCCACGAGCGGUGCACGAGCGCCUGACCCAGACCUCGACCCUAGCCUUCACCCCCACCCUGACUCCAGUUCAUGAACUGGUCAAAGGAAGAGCCAUGCCAGCAAACGUCUACACUGUACAUGCUUUUUAUUACAAGACUACGGAGCAUAGGAGGAAAAUUCAUCAUCUGGAAAAGAACUACAGCCUGUGUGGGUCCCCUCCCGACAAUUAAAAUUGCACCAUAACUCCAAAGAUGAAACGCUCCCAGAAAGAAAAGGCAAAGACCCAUCGGAAACAAAAGAGCAACUUUCACCGCCUGAUACAUACACUUCAUGACAUCCACAUUGAGACAAAAUCUCGCCGUGUGACCUACAACACCUCUCGUUCAACCCCACCUACUUGGGGUCGAAUACAGAUUUUAUCUCAUCAAACAGAAAAAUUCUUAACAGAAAAAGGAAUCCCAAAAAUGACUGGUAAUAUAAUUCUGGCUGCCUUUAUGGUAGUCAGUGCAGCGUCUGCAGAUGCCUCUAAGGAGUCCGAAACCAAGUCCGAAGUCAACAACAAGCAAUGAUGGCGAUGGCGAUUCUAGUUAAUAAAAAGGGGGGAGAUGUGGGCGGCAAGCCACCCAGGCACCGAGGCAAGAGACAGAGGACACGAGCUGUUCCAGUAUAAUAAAAUAUAAAACAAGAAUAGUUAUACCAGAUAUAGAUCUUAGAUAUGAUUAUAUACGAAUAUCAUUAAUCAUGAGUUUGUAGCAAUUACUUUUUAUUCCAAUAUUAUGAUAAUCCUCGCUCUAUAAUCAUAGCCUAGGAAAAACCAGGCCAUACAGAGAUAGGAGCUGAGGGGACAUAGUGAAGUGUGACCAGAAGACAAGAGUGCGAGCCUUCUGUUAUGCCCGGACAGGGCCACCAGAGGGCUCCUUGGUCUAGCGGUGACGCCAGCGUCUGGGAAGACACCCGUUACCAGGCGGAUCGUGGCCCAGCCGUAGCAAAAGGUGUCAAGGAACACCUUUUGCAAAAGGUGUCAACACCCGCUACUUAGCAGACUGGGAAAGGGGGGCGGUCUCCCUUUCCCCGGGGGAGUUUAGAGAAGACUCUGUUCCUCCACCUCUUGUGGAGGGCCUGACAUCAGUCAGGCUUGCCCGUAGUUAUCCGGAGGCCUAACUGUCUCCCUGUGAUGCUGUGCUUCAGUGGUCACGCUCCUAGUCUGCCUUCAUUUUCCAUCCUGUACACCUGGCUCUGCCUUCUAGAUAGCAGUAGUAAAUUAGUGAAAAUACUAAUAGUCCCUGAUAUGCAGAAAUAAUGGCAUAAGCUGUCUUUCUCUCUGUCUCCUCUCCCUCUCUGCCUCGGCUGCCAGGCAGGGAAGGGCCCCCUGUCCAGUGGACACAUGACCCAUGUGACCUUACCUAUCAUUGGAGGUGACUCACAUUCUUUACCCUGCCCCUUCUGCCUUGUAUCCAAUAACAGCGCAGUCAGACAUUCAGGGCCACUACCGGUCUCCGCACAUUGGUGGUAGUGGUCCCCCGGGCCCAGCUGCCUUUUCUCUUAUCUCGUUGUCUUGUGUCUUUAUUUCUACACUCUCUCAUCGCCACACACAGGGAGAGACCCACCGACCCUGUGGGGCUGGUCCCUACAAGAGGGAAGUGGUUUGUUCUGCUCUUCUGAGAUGUGUUCUUAUGAGAAGGAUCCAGCAGCAGCCUGCAGAGAUGUGGGGCCUGAAAAGAGGCCUUGGGCAGCUCUUCUCAACAGGUCUUGGCCCUCUAGACUGCCUUCAGCACAGUUUUGGGGAGAAACAGGGAGUGUUCCUUUUUCAAUCUAUGCGCUCAUCCCCUGAGCCGCCUGACCCAGGGUUUAGAUGCUCCAGGGCAGCUGAUUGACACCGGUGGGAGAUGGAGUCUGGCAAGCAGGUGAUGAACUGGGAAGCGCUGCAGAAAUGAGGGGGCAAGCGUGGCCAGUCCCUUCUGAGAGGAUGUGUUUGGAAGAGAGUGGGCACUGGCGUGGCACUUUCCCCUUCUGUGGAAAUGGACUUGGACAGGAUGCCACGUAGUGCUGCAGUUCUGUGUGGGGCAGGUUGUGGCUGCAGAGAAGCACUGGGUGCAGAAACAGUCCCCCAAGCAGGUGCGAGGGUCAGGGUGCUCUAUGCUGCUCCACACCUGCCGUGCGAUGACAUGUGGUCACCGGGCUGCCCAGCACAGUUGUUUAGAAAGCAGGUUCAAAGGGCAGUGUGCUGGGAGGAAGUGCUGCUGUGGAAACUGCAAGUUUUGGACAUGAGUUGCUCAGGUCUUUUCAGCCGUUCAUUCUUCUACAACAGAAUUGCAUUAUUCACUUGCUCAGUGUGAUACCAUGUCCUUUAAAAAAUUAUUUGAAUAUUGAGAACAGGUUGUAUGUUCCGUCUCUAGCUGCUAGAUCACAGGCAGGGCACAUCUUCUCAAAGAGUAACAAGGCAUGGGUUGUGUGUGUUCUCUUCUCUUAGUGAGGAGAAAGGCCUGUUUGGGUUCAUGAUGAUUGUUGGGGUCUCUUUUCUGUACCUGAUGUUGGUUGCACAAAGUCCGUUUCCAUUCUCUUAGUCUAGACAAUUUUCCUGAUAUUUAAACUGGAAUUUUUGCUCCAAGAAAUUCCAGGUCAUUUAGAAUGUGUUAAGAUUGAGUUUCUGGGCUACACAUCCUUAUAAGAGCACCCGAUUCUGGUUUCUGUUUAUUUAUUUAUUUUUUCGAGACAGUCUCGUUCUGUCACGCAGGCUGGAGUACAGUGGCAUGAUUUUGGCUCACUGCAACCUCUGCCUCAUGGGUUCAAGUGAUUCUCGUGCUUCAGGCUCCCAAGUAGCUGGGAUUACAGGUGCGCACCACCUACAUUAUUUAUUUAUUUAAUUUAUUUAUUGAGAUGAGGUCUCACUAUGUUGCCCAGGCUACUCAAACUUCUGGUCUCAAGGGAUCCUCCCGCCUCGGCCUCCCAAAGUGCUGGGAUUACAGGCAUGAGCCACCGCACACAGCCUGAUUUCUGUUUAAAGAGUUGGAUUAUACAGGGACCCACAGAAUUGGGAACUGACAGUACUGUAGAGCCUGUGUAUGAAAAAGAUGGACAAGCCUGACAUUAGCAGCUCACUGUUGAGCACACGGCCCCCUGCAGAAUAAACAAGUGUGUGGUUUCCAUCUGAUGAAGGUGGGCAUGUAGUUCCUGGACAGUCCAGUGACUUCCAUCAUUCCACAGACAAGAUCAGAUGCCCUCUCUACCAGCCACCGUGCUGGGACCGGCCCAAUCUGUGUUUCAAAUCAGCUUGUAGCACGCAGGGAUUCAAAAUAUUUAAAGAUGAGGUUUGAAGGUACGUCUGGAGACCAAGGACGUUAGUUCUGGAGGUCCCCGUCUCCUGCGUGUUUGCGGAGCUGGUGACAGUGCCCUCUCCCCGUGCUGGAGAGGGCUGAGGAGAGGCUGUGUGUCUCAGCAGGAUGCCAGUCAGGAUUCUUCUGGCUAUGGGCUUAUUUUUUGCAAUAAAUUCAUCGUUAAAGUCCCAUUCUUUAACCUGUUUUUUCCCUUUUGGAAUUAAUUCGACUGCAGUAGGAAGGGGUUGUAGCUGAAAGUGACCGCUGUGCAUUGAAUGCCAUCAGAAAAGGCUGAUGAGAUUUGCAGGGAAGACUUGAAGCCUCACUGAAAUGCGCCUGGCGUGUGUUGACCUUUGCAGUGGAACAUGUGGGAAAGGGGCCCGCACUCACUUUUCAGUUCUGCCUCGGUGAUUCCAGGAGCCCCGGGGUUGGGAGCGGGGACAGGACCUUGCUCCUGAGUCUUAGGUGUGGUGUCUCUCGCCCCUUGCUGCAUUGGCGGGACCCUCGGUGCCGCGGCCUCAGUUGCAGGGCGGCCAGGGCUGCUCCGUGAAGGAGGCGCUCACUCCAUGGAGCUGCAGGACGCUGCAUUCUCCUCACUCUGGCCAUUGCCGCUGUCCUUCCUGCUUCCCCUUUUCUGGUGAGGGAGGGCUCCAAGGACUUGCUGGCUGGUCCCCAGAUGCCAGCACUCCUGCAUCUUCCCCUCCUCUCCUGGCCUGUCACUUUGUUCCUCCUCUGUGAGGGGCCCAGGCUCGGAUGCCCGGCCACGGCCUCUCUUUCCAGCCUGUGCGGCCCAGGUGGGUCCAGGAUGUUCCCUGCUGCCCUGUUCUCAGCAGUUCUUGUCUUCUUCAGGCUUUUCCUCCUUGCCUAGAGAAAUUUCCCUACAUGGAAACCCCUGUGGCUGUACAGUCUUUUCUGACCAAUCUGCUGGGUUUUUUGUUUUUUGUUUUUGAGACAGAAUCUUGCUCUGUCGCCCAGGCUGGAGUGCAUUGCAGUGAAAGUGGCAAUAUCUGGCAUUUGUAGAUGGAAGCUGGAACUCAGUACAGGUGGGAACGUAAGCGCCUGUCGUUGCUGAGGUGGGGCAGCAGUCAGUUGCCAGCGCGUGUUCAAACACAGGCUGAUUCAACAGUUCCCGUUCUGGGAAUUUAAGAUCGGAAAAUAAUUAAAGUGUAUGCAAAGAUUUUGCUACUAGAAUAUUUGUCACAGCUUUGAAAUAGGGGAGAACUGGAAAUAUCUUGAAUUUCCCUCAGGCAGAGAUAGGUAGAAACAUUGUGGUGAAGUCUGUGUCGUCCCUCAGGAUCUGUGGGAAAUUGGUCCCAGGACCUCUCUCAGAUACCAGAGUCGGAGGGUGCUGAAGCCCUUGCUCUGAAGUGGUAUAGUGUUUGCAUAUAAUCUGUGCACACCCUCCUGUGUACUCUGUCAUCACCAGAUUACAUAUAAUGCCUAAUGUAAUGUAAAUGCUAUGUAAAUAGUUGCUUUACUAUAUUCUUUAGGGAAUAAUGACAAGAAAAAAAGUCUGUGCAUGUUCAGUACAGAUGCAAUUUCUUGUUUUUCUAAUAUUUUCUAUCCACUGUUGGUUGAAUCCAUGCAUGUGGAGUCAACCUAUGGAUGGGGAUGGCAGACUGUACUCUCCUGACAGGUGGUUACAAAGUAUUUCUAUCUGAAAAGAGCUGGCUGCAAAGCAGCAUGCCCAGUAUAACUUUCCUCAGGCCCAGGGAAAAGCUUGGAGGGAGGUUCCCACAGAAACAUUAGCAGUGGUUUCCUGGGCCAGUGGGAUAAGGACCAGGCAUUGUGCUAGCAGUGGAGAAACAGUGGUGAAUAAGGUAGGUCUGGCUCUGUCUCCUGGAGCUUACUGGACUGAAGAUGAACCUUUCUCCACUAAUUUUUAUUCUGAAAAAUUUCAAAACUAAAGAAGAGUUGAACGCAUAGUACAAUGAAUAUCCCUAGCCUUUCACCUGGAUUCUACCAGUUGUUAACCUUUUCCAUAUUUGCUUGUAUAUGUUACCCUCUCACCUCCCCAAAUUUUUUUCUAUUAUUUUUAUUAUUUGAAAGUAAGUCACACACAUGAUAGCAUUUCACCCCAGAAUCCUUCUCCAGGUGCCUUCUGAGCUCAGAAGCUGUCUCCUCUACAACCUCAUCAUUAUCACAUCCGAGAUAGAAUUAACAUUGCAUUUUCUUUUUUUUUUUUUUUUUGUUUUUUUGAGAUGGAAUCUCAUGCUGUUGCCCAGGCUGGAGUGCAGUACUUUGAUUUUGGCUCAUUGAAACCUCCACCUCCUGGGUUCAAGUGAUUCACCUGCCUCAGCCUCCCAAGUGGCUGGGACUACAAGUGUGUACCACCGUGCCUGGCUAAUUUUUGUAUUUUUAGUAGAGAUGGAGUUUUAUCAUAACAUGGCAUUUUCUAAUGCAAAGGUGACAUGCAGCCUUCCUCAGUGGUCCCCAGUCCUCCUCAAAGUCCUUUAUAGAGACAGUUUUACUCUGUUGCCCAAACUGGAAUGCAGUGGUGUGAUCAUAGCUCACUGCAGCCUUGAACUCCCCUGGGCUCAAGCCAUCCCCCAGCCUUAGCCUCCUGAGUUGCUGGGACUACAGGCCUGUGCCGCCACACCUAGCUAAUCUUUUUUUUUUUUUUUUUUGAGAUGGAGUCUCAAACUUGUCACCCAGCCUGGAGUGCAGUGGCACGAUCUUGGCUCACUGCAACAUCCGCCUCCCAGUUUCACGCCAUUCUCCUGCCUCAGCCUCCUGAGUAGCUGAGAUUACAGGCAUGCGUCACCAUGCCUGGCUAAUUUUGUAUUUUUAGUAGAGACGCGUUUCCACCAUAUUGGCCAGGCUGGUCUUGAACUCCUGACCUCGUGAUCCAGCCUCCUUGGCCUCCUAAAGUGCUGGGAUUACAGGCGUGAGCCACUGCACCCAGCCUAAUUUUUGUAUUUUUAGUAGAGGCAGGGUUUCACCAUGUUGGUCACGCUGGUGUUGAACUCCUGACCUCACAUGAUCCACCCAACUUGGCCUCCCAAAGUGCUGGGAUUAGAGGCAUGAGCCACCAUGCCCAAUCUCUGCACCAUGCCCAGUAUCCCUUAGUGGCCCUUCUGACUUUACACUGCUUUUCCCUCCUGACAGCGGGGCCCUGCUUUCGUGGUCUGUAUCCUGCUUGAGCAAGGUGCCAUGAGGCUUUUCCUAGGCCUUGACUUUGCUGUAGCUUCUAAGGUGUCCUGUGGCGGCAAAAGGGACGUGUGCUCUGUGGGUGGGUGCAGCCACCUGUAGAGCUGCAGCUAUAUCCCCAGGAUGGUUGUGUGACUGAUGGUCCUUGGGGAGCCCAGCAGUGAGGAUCUCAGCAGCCCACCUGUCUCAGAGUCCCCGCUGUGCACCCAGGCCCAGGGCUCAGUGAGUGAGAGCUCUCCGACCUCGGUGGGGGCGGGGCUAAUUGACCUUCAGACCCACCGUGUGCCAGUGCUGGCUGGCACACAGCACUGCUUGGACUUCCCCUGUGGGAAAGGAUGGGGACAGAUCAGUCUUUGGAAGAAUGGAGCGCUGGCUUUGCUCAGCCCUGUUCUUGGGAAGGUUUGAUCUGGAGAGCCGCAGCAGCCAGACCCUGGGGAGGCAGGUUAGUGAGCAGGCUCCCAACUUACGAGCUAGGAAGGCUGACGGCUGUUCAUUUCCCCCCAUGUGGACCUCAUCGGGGGUCCUUCCUGAGGGCGAGCGCUAGGUUCGUCUGCGUUUCUCUCUCCCAGUUGGGCCUGACUCUGGACGCCAGGCUGAGGGAGUACACAGCUCCUUCAGAGCACGGGCUCAGACGCUCAGAUGCUCGGAGCGCUUCCGGCUGCUUUUCCAUGGGUAACUCACAUGUUCUUCCUGCAGGCUGGCAUUUGUCUUUCAUGGCUUUUUUCCAUCGGUCAGAAUUACAGUCUUUUGAUUGUAUGUACGUACCUG